CAGUAGCCACGGUAAUACGGAGGGGGCUAGCGUUGUUCGGAAUUACUGGGCGUAAAGCGCACGUAGGCGGCUUGGUAAGUUAGAGGUGAAAGCCUGGAGCUCAACUCCAGAAUUGCCUUUAAGACUGCCGAGCUAGCAGGUGAGAGGGGUAAGUGGAAUUCCGAGUGUAGAGGUGAAAUUCGUAGAUAUUCGGAAGAACACCAGUGGCGAAGGCGGCUUACUGGCUCAUACUGGACGCUGAGGUGCGAAAGCGUGGGGAGCAAACAGGAUUAGAUACCCCAGUAGUCCCUGUCUCUUAUAA
This 301-nucleotide ribosomal RNA is filed under the name uncultured bacterium. RNAcentral's name for it is "partial 16S ribosomal RNA". It matches the Rfam family "Bacterial small subunit ribosomal RNA", at positions 509 to 809 of the family's 1533-position model. The record is from RNAcentral.